RNAcentral lists this ribosomal RNA (119 nucleotides) under Actinomadura oligospora. The record is from RNAcentral. Lineage: Bacteria; Bacillati; Actinomycetota; Actinomycetes; Streptosporangiales; Thermomonosporaceae.
GUUCGGUGGUUAUGGCGAGGGGGAAACACCCGGUCCCAUCCCGAACCCGGUAGUUAAGCCCCUCAGCGCCGAUGGUACUGCAUGGGAGACUGUGUGGGAGAGUAGGACGCCGCCGGACA